AUCUGCUUGUAUUUUUUAGGUUUUAACUUUGUUUUGGCUGUUUGCUUUUUUAUUUGUCUGUUUGAUUUUUUUCCUCAGCAGCUGAAGUGUGUGUGUGUGAGACAGGAAGAGGACACCCUGGGAUUCUUGCUGCAGCUGAGGCUGCACAAGCUCAUCACACUGCAAAACCGUGCCUGUGCCUCUCAGCCCUGCUUUCAUCCCUCCUCCCCUUCCCUUUCUCACUGCAGCUCUGAGCAGGCUGUCAGUCUACACUCCUGCACCCCCUCCUACCUCCUCCAGGUGUGGGUACUUGACUGCAAUCAAAUACUCUCUCCAGUAAAAGGUGGUGGAGAGAUUUCAUUAUGGGCUAGAGCUGUGGUGCUUGGGGACCUGUUUGUACAAUGGGAGCUUUGUGUGUCUGCGUUAUUCUGCUGCCAGAGGAAGAAGCCUGGAGUGCUGGAAGAUGCUCAUGUGUGCUGGGAGCUCAUAGAUAGAGCAGCUCAGAAGCAUUGGUCUCAAGGUUCCCAGAACAUCCUCCUCAAAGGACAUCAUUUGGAGGUAAUUGUAGGGCUGUUGUUGUAAACAGUUUCUCUGAAAGCUCCCAACAAAGCAAGAAUCCCUUAUUGAAAACACUCCAUCCAGACAGUGUUGUUUGUCAGUGAUGAGCUGCAGGGAUGCUGGAUCCCUGGCCCUCUUAUAAUCUUCAGCGGUCACGAACCAGGCCACUUGGAAGGAUCUGUUUGAAUCGGGGGGACUUCCAAGAGGAAUCAAAAAAAUCACGCCAGGAGUGCAGCCUGUUCCAUUUAUUCCACUUUCCCUUGCUAAUGAGGGUGAUCUGUGCAAAACAUGAGGCCCCAGAAGGGGCUGACAUGCUGUCUUAAGGGCCAGCUUUUAAAAGGACUUGCGGUGCUGAACUUUCAUUGCAGUAUGGGGUUAAGGAAGGACAUAUGUUAGGAGAGCAGCCACUGCGGGCUCCUUCUUUACCAAGAGAAGAGAGAUCAACACCUUCAAAGCCGAUCUGUCCUACCUGUUAUAGGAUGUGGUAAUCUGCCCUAAAAAAACAGCCAGAGCAAACAGGCUCACAGUUUCGGUACCUCUGUAAGGUGUCUGUGGUUAGCCAAGAGGACUCCAAGCCCUAGAAAUUUUAAGUGCUUUUAAGGAACUGUCCUAAAACCAGCCAGCAGCUGGACCACACCAAUUAACUUGUCCUAUGGACCAGCAAUAAAGAAGGGGAGUAACCCCCCA
RNAcentral lists this long non-coding RNA (1224 nucleotides) under Anser brachyrhynchus (Pink-footed goose). RNAcentral's name for it is "lncRNA (ENSABRG00000016237.1)". The record is from RNAcentral. Lineage: Eukaryota; Metazoa; Chordata; Aves; Anseriformes; Anatidae.